This 61-nucleotide transfer RNA is filed under the name Pentapycnon charcoti. RNAcentral describes it as "tRNA-His". Lineage: Eukaryota; Metazoa; Arthropoda; Pycnogonida; Pantopoda; Pycnogonidae. The record is from RNAcentral.
ACAUGUAUAGUUUAAUAAAAAUUUUAAUUUGUGGAGUUAAAGAUCUUACUUAGUUCAUGUA